This 467-nucleotide ribosomal RNA is filed under the name uncultured bacterium. Its description in RNAcentral is "partial 16S ribosomal RNA". It matches the Rfam family "Bacterial small subunit ribosomal RNA", at positions 28 to 506 of the family's 1533-position model. The record is from RNAcentral.
GACGAACGCUGGCGGCGUGCUUAACACAUGCAAGUCGAACGGAAAGGCCCUGCUUUUGUGGGGUGCUCGAGUGGCGAACGGGUGAGUAACACGUGAGUAACCUGCCCUUGACUUUGGGAUAACUUCAGGAAACUGGGGCUAAUACCGGAUAGGAGCUCCUGCUGCAUGGUGGGGGUUGGAAAGUUUCGGCGGUUGGGGAUGGACUCGCGGCUUAUCAGCUUGUUGGUGGGGUAGUGGCUUACCAAGGCUUUGACUGGUAGCCGGCCUGAGAGGGUGACCGGCCACAUAGGGACUGAGAUACGGCCCAGACUCCUACGGGAGGCAGCAGUGGGGAAUAUUGCACAAGGGGCGGAAGCCUGAUGCAGCAACGCCGCGUGCGGGAUGACGGCCUUCGGGUUGUAAACCGCUUUCGCCUGUGACGAAGCGUGAGGGACGGUAAUGGGUAAAGAAGCACCGGCGAACUACGG